This 564-nucleotide unclassified non-coding RNA is filed under the name Hevea brasiliensis (rubber tree). Lineage: Eukaryota; Viridiplantae; Streptophyta; Magnoliopsida; Malpighiales; Euphorbiaceae. The record is from RNAcentral.
AUGUCUGCUAGAGCUCUAAUGCCUCCUCCUCGGCCUUCUAGCAACUCUCUUUCAAAUUCAGUGCAUGCUCAAUUGAGGUUUGGGGCAUCAUCAAGCAAAAAUUCAUGGAUGGAGAGGUCUGAAAUUUCUACAUCCAGCAAUACAUCAAGUAGCAGAAGUGGAUCUUCUUCUAAGGCGGGGGGGUCUUCAAAUACAAGGACAGGUCAUAGUAGUAAUCUAAGUUCUAAUUCUGAUGCUCACAAGCCCCGAAGGAAGAGGAGGCCAAAGAAGAAAAAGCAACAGGCAUGAAUUGGAUGAACUCAACAUUUAUUUAACUUCACCAUAACCGAUUGAAGUCUAUUAUCAUAAGACAAUAAUGAAAUAUUUAUGGUUCUGUUUUAACCAUCAAACAUUUUUCAUUUUUUGUGGGUAGAUAGUCAGAAGUCUGUACCUAUUGCUCUCUGGAACUAUCAUUUCAACAAAUCCCUACAAAGGUGCUAGGUUUAUGUGAGAAUUCUUUCAACAGUUGCUUGUAUAAAGUCUUUCUCAUUAGCAAAAAAAAAAAAUGUUUGAUGGUUAAAACAG